Molecule: long non-coding RNA, 623 nt
Filed under: Marmota monax (woodchuck)
Lineage: Eukaryota; Metazoa; Chordata; Mammalia; Rodentia; Sciuridae
Source: RNAcentral
UAUUUACUUUGAGACGGGGUCUUGCUGAGUUGUUCGGGCUGGACUUGAACUUGCCAUCCUCUUGCCUCUGGCUCCUGAGUAGAGGAAGACUUAGUGAGAAGGUGACAUUGAGCACAGACCAGACGGAGAUGAGGAGCAAGUCAUGCCAACCUCCCGAGGAGUGGUGUACCAAGCAGAGGGCCUGGAGGUGGAAAACCCCUGCUUAGGGAACAGCUCAUGGCCAGUGUGUCUGCAGCAGGGUGGGUGGAGGACUGGAGGGAAAGAGGGCAGAGAGGUGACAGUGUAGGUAGCACAGCUGCUUGGCGUCUAGGAAGGACUCUGGUUUUUAUUCCUAGUGAAGUGGGAGCCGUGAAGGUUUCUGAGCGCGGAGGGACUACCUGACUCAGGUGUUCACAGGUACCUUCUUGAGGCUGCAGGAGCUCCAGGCUGCUCCGGUCCAGAUGAACAACUGCUGGAGCUGGGCUGGGAGGUGGCAUUGGAGAAGUGGUUGGAUUUGGAAUGUGUUUUGCAGCCUGGGCCAACUGGUCUUACAGGGCAGCAUCAAGGGUGACUCCUUAGUCCAGGUCUGAGCCCCUGAGAGGAUGGAGGGCCAUUUCCUGAAAUGGGGAUAGAUGGUAAUGUGG